UGAUCCUGCCAGUAGUGAUAUGCUUGUCUCAAAGAUUAAGCCAUGCAUGUCUGAGUACAGACCGAUCUAAGGUGAAACCGCGAAUGGCUCAUUAAAUCAGUCAUAAUUCCUUGGAUAGUGAAAAACUUCCUCGGAUAACUGUGGAAAAUCCAGAGCUAAUACGUGCAACUGAGCUCCGACCUCGACGCGAGUCUUGGGAAGAGCGCAUUUAUUAGAUUCAAAACUGACCGGCGUACUCCUCCGGGAUGCGCCGUUUGUCGAAAGUUUGAUGACUCCGGAUAACUUAGCCGAGCGCUACGGUCCUAGUACCGGCGCCGUAUCUUUCAAGUGUCUGCCUUAUCAGCUUUCGAUUGUAGGUUAAACGCCUACAAUGGCUGUAACGGGUAACGGGGAAUCAGGGUUCGAUUCCGGAGAGGGAGCCUGAGAAACGGCUACCACAUCUAAGGAAGGCAGCAGGCACGCAAAUUACCCACUCCCAGCCCGGGGAGGUAGUGACGAAAAAUAACGAUGCGAGACUCUUCCGAGGCCUCGCAAUCGGAAUGAGUCCAUUUUAAAUCCUUGGACGAGGAUCCAUUGGAGGGCAAGUCUGGUGCCAGCAGCCGCGGUAAUUCCAGCUCCAAUAGCGUAUAUUAAAGUUGCUGCGGUUAAAAAGCUCGUAGUUGGACUUCCUAGAUCCAUUUCGCGAGCGAGUCGCUCGUCGAACUAGCGUUUCGCGCCAGUCACUCGACGAUGGUCGUUCGGGUGUAAGCCGCGUUUGCGUGCCGUCUCCUCCUUCGUUUCGUGUCGAAUCCUUCGUGGGUGAGCUCGAUUCGUCGGUCUGGCAGGCGGUUUCGUUCGCGCGUUACUACCCUUGCGCGCCUAAGCUUGCGGACGGCGAGACGUUGUCUUCGAGUAUUGCUCGUUCGCGUUUGGUACAAUUAAAAUUUGGUCGGCUCGCUCGGAGUGCUCUUCACCGAGUGUUCCAGGGUGGCCGACACGUUCACUUUGAAAAAAUUAGAGUGCUUAAAGCGGGGCUUAUACGCGGCCUGAAUGUCUGUGCAUGGAAUGAAGUAACAGGACCUCGAUUCUGUUUUUUUUGUCGGUUUUAUUGAACCGAGGUAAUGAUUAAAAGGGACAGACGGUGGCAUUAGUAUUGCGGCGCUAGAGGUGAAAUUCUUGGACCGCUGCAAGACUAACUACUGCGAAAGCGUUUGCCGAGAAUGUUUUCAUUAAUCAAGAACGAAAGUUAGAGGAUCGAAGGCGAUCAGAUACCGCCCUAGUUCUAACCCUAAACUAUGCUAACUAGCGAUCCGCCGGAGUCAUUCCCACGACCCGGCGGGAAGCCCCAGGGAAACCAAAGUCUUUGAGUUCCGGGGGAAGUAUGGUUGCAAAGCUGAAACUUAAAGGAAUUGACGGAAGGGCACCACCAGGAGUGGAGCCUGCGGCUUAAUUUGACUCAACACGGGAAACCUCACCAGGCCCGGACAUCAUAAGGAUUGACAGGUUGAGGGCUCUUCUCGAUUUGAUGGGUGGUGGUGCAUGGCCGUUCUUAGUUGGUGGAGUGAUCUGUCUGGUUGAUUCCGAUAACGAACGAGACUCUACCCUACUAACUAGUCGGCGGAUCGUAACCCUGAGAUGGUUAGUUGGUGAUGGGCGGAAUAUUCGAUUGGGGCGGUCGUUGCUCGUGUUGGUUUGGCGUGGGGAGCAAAGUCCAUUCGUUCGCGAGCGUAAUUCUUUAAUAGGAUGAAACUCGUGUCGAGUGUGGCCAUCUCCUCGCGUCGGCCGCGCGUGUGUACGGUUUAGCCUCGUUUGUUUCCGUCUUAUUACUGCUACUGCUGGGGGCGUCCGUCGCAAUGUAUCUUCUUAGAGGGAUCAGCGGCGUAUAGCCGCACGAGAAAGAGCAAUAACAGGUCUGUGAUGCCCUUAGAUGUUCUGGGCCGCACGCGCGCUACAAUGUAGAGACCAGCGUGCUUUCCCCCUCCGAAAGGAGCGGGUAACCCGUUGAAACCCCUACCCGAUUGGGAUUGGGGAUUGCAAAUAUUUCCCAUAAACGAGGAAUUCCCAGUAAGCGCGAAUCAUUAAUUCGCGCUGAUUACGUCCCUGCCCUUUGUACACACCGCCCGUCGCUACUACCGAUUGAAUGAUUCAGUGAGGGCAUCGGACUGGCGCCUUCGGUUUAGUAACAUAGACCUUAGGCUGACGGAAAGAUGUCCCGAACUUGAUC
Molecule: ribosomal RNA, 2203 nt
Filed under: Munnopsis sp. Aust. C13
Lineage: Eukaryota; Metazoa; Arthropoda; Malacostraca; Isopoda; Munnopsidae
Description: SSU rRNA
Rfam family: Eukaryotic small subunit ribosomal RNA
Source: RNAcentral